GGGGCAUUAGCUCAGUUGGCAGAGCAGCUGACUCUUAAUCAGCGGGUCUGGGGUUCGAAUCCCUAAUGCCCCACCA
RNAcentral lists this transfer RNA (76 nucleotides) under Acidobacteriota bacterium. Its description in RNAcentral is "tRNA-Lys". It matches the Rfam family "tRNA". Rfam says of the family: Transfer RNA (tRNA) molecules are approximately 80 nucleotides in length. Their secondary structure includes four short double-helical elements and three loops (D, anti-codon, and T loops). Lineage: Bacteria; Pseudomonadati; Acidobacteriota. The record is from RNAcentral. RNAcentral also lists the same sequence under 1 other name.